UACGUAGGGCGCAAGCGUUAUCCGGAAUUAUUGGGCGUAAAGAGCUCGUAGGCGGUUUGUCGCGUCUGCCGUGAAAGUCCGGGGCUCAACUCCGGAUCUGCAGUGGGUACGGGCAGACUAGAGUGCGGUAGGGGAGACUGGAAUUCCUGGUGUAGCGGUGAAAUGCGCAGAUAUCAGGAGGAACACCGGUGGCGAAGGCGGGUCUCUGGGCCGUAACUGACGCUGAGGAGCGAAAGCAUGGGGAGCGAACAGG
RNAcentral lists this ribosomal RNA (253 nucleotides) under uncultured bacterium. RNAcentral's name for it is "partial 16S ribosomal RNA". It matches the Rfam family "Bacterial small subunit ribosomal RNA", at positions 524 to 776 of the family's 1533-position model. The record is from RNAcentral.